CGUGGGCAACCUGCCCUGAAGCGGGGGACAACAACUCGAAAGAGUUGCUAAUACCGCAUGUGAAUUGCUUUGGCAUCAAAGCGUAUUCAAAGCCGCAAGGCACUUCAGGAUGGGCCCGCGGCCUAUCAGCUAGUUGGUGAGGUAACGGCCCACCAAGGCUUCGACGGGUAGCUGGUCUGAGAGGACGAUCAGCCGGAUUGGGACUGAGAUACGGCCCAG
RNAcentral lists this ribosomal RNA (219 nucleotides) under uncultured bacterium. RNAcentral's name for it is "partial 16S ribosomal RNA". It matches the Rfam family "Bacterial small subunit ribosomal RNA", at positions 116 to 334 of the family's 1533-position model. The record is from RNAcentral.